CUUAUCAACCAUCCCUUCUUCCGGGGACCAUGGAAGUGUCCGGCCGGAAACGCCGGUGUACUUAGCUGGUUCCAUUGGGUGGCACCCAACGUGGCGCAUGACUAUGAGAGAUCAAAGUGAAGGACACUGCUGAAGAGAGAGCACUCGGUACAAGAAAAAAAGGGUGCUGAAAAUGCUUGUUGAUUACCUGAGUGACUGGUGUGGUUUGCAGAGGCUGCCACUGCUUCUGAUCAUACUGAUUCUGUUGAUGAGUGCAACAGGAGAGCCAUACUGGGUUCAUAUGUUCCUGAUCGUCCUCUGCUGCAAUCCUGUUCCUUGGGAUGGUUCAGAAGUACUUAUAUCCACUCAUGACACUCAUUACUAGGCUUUUCUUGGAUUGAGCAACAAGUGACUUCACAGCUGUCAUCAGAAAGGCUGUUCCUAGAUGUUUUGCAAAGAAUGCUACUCAAGAGGGAUGUGUCAUCCUUACAUCACAAACAUGGACUGCCAAUGUCACAAAGAAUACUCAACAAAAUGUCAUGAUGGGUAUGCUCCAGUUUGAAGUGACGAAUAUUUCUCAAGUUUUAUAUCCACAAACUGUCAGACCAUGUUCAUUAAAAUCAGGUGGUUUAUUAGAUUCUACAUAUAAUAAGUCUAUUAAUUGGAAAUGUUAUCACAACAUACUUGUUCAAUUCUCUGUUAGUAAUGUCACCAAGAUAAUUAGCUGAUCAGGGAAUCAAAUGAAUUUAGGCAAUAAAGAGCUUGCUUCAGGAAUUUGGAUUAUUCCUAAGAAUUAUAUUCAAAGGCAUUUAUGGAAAGUGGAUGCAGUAAUGUAUCCUCAUGCUUAUAUUGAUACAAAGGUUAAUAACACUA
Molecule: long non-coding RNA, 852 nt
Organism: Psammomys obesus (fat sand rat)
Lineage: Eukaryota; Metazoa; Chordata; Mammalia; Rodentia; Muridae
Exons: 3
Source: RefSeq, a predicted model, not a curated record